RNAcentral lists this ribosomal RNA (462 nucleotides) under uncultured bacterium. Its description in RNAcentral is "SSU rRNA". It matches the Rfam family "Bacterial small subunit ribosomal RNA", at positions 26 to 521 of the family's 1533-position model. The record is from RNAcentral.
AGAAUCAACGCUGGCGGCGCGCUUAACACAUGCAAGUCGAGCGAGAAAGCGGAGCAAUCCGUGAGUAAAGCGGCGUACGGGUGAGUAACACGUGGAUGAUCUACCUUUUAGUGGGGGAUAACCCUGGGAAACCGGGGCUAAUAUCGCAUAAGCCUGAGAAGGGAAAGCAGCAAUGCGCUGAAAGAGGAGUCCGCGGCCGAUUAGCUAGUUGGUGAGGUAAUGGCUCACCAAGGCGAUGAUCGGUAGCCGGCCUGAGAGGGCACACGGCCACACUGGCACUGAAACACGGGCCAGACUCCUACGGGAGGCAGCAGUGGGGAAUCUUGCACAAUGGAGGCAACUCUGAUGCAGCGACGCCGCGUGAGCGAUGAAGCCCCUCGGGGUGUAAAGCUCUUUCGGCAGGGACGAUAAUGACGGUACCUGAAGAAGAGCUGCGGCUAACUACGUGCCAGCAGCCGCGGU